UCUUCUUUUCCAUGUCAUAGGAUUUUGAUGUUUGAGAGUUUGCUAUAUUAGUUGCUGACAGAUUGUCUGAAAAGAAUCUAGCAUAUGUUCUGCUUGCACUUCGUCGCCAUCUCAUACAAUUGUUGAUGCAUCUUGAGCAAAGUGCAGAUAGCAAAUGCAGAGAAGAAAGUGCUAAACUCUUGGGUUGCCUAAUUCGCAGCCUAAUGUUGUAUUAGAUGUAAUCGAAAAUCAAAAGUAGCCUUCAUAUACGGAGGUUAGUUUUUUCUAGUUGAAUAUUUAAUACAGAAAUGGCAUUUUAGUGAUGUCUCAUUAGUAGGUUGCUGUCCUGCAGAUGGGUAGCUAUGAUGCAAUGCUUAUGCAGAAGCUUGCUGCCAUGCAGCAGUUGGAACGUGAGCUUGAGGCCAUCUCUGCCAUUGAUUACCGGGGAAUUAUGUUAUUCCUAGUGAAGAAGUUCUUGUAGGUCUGUAUUGAUUUAGUUUAAUCGCUUCAUUGAGGUUGAGUUUAAAUGUUGUUGGUGGUUAUCUUCCUUUGGCAGGAACGUUUGGAGGAUCUAGCAGGUAAAGAUGCCCAAGAGAAAUCUGAUGCUGCUAUAGAAACCCUUUUACUAGAGCUUCCAGAUGAAAGAAAUGUCAAUAAAAGACCGGAUGAUUCAAAACAGAUACAAGAAAAGUCAAAGAAAAAGAAAAAAAAGAUUAUAGAAGAGAUAAGAAUAUAAAUAUUUGUGGAACCUAAUAUUGUGUAACAGUUUGAUUGUGUUUGUUUUGAAAACGUUAAGUAGACUGUUGUUAACUAUUUUGUUGGUAUUAUGGCUUUCA
Molecule: long non-coding RNA, 815 nt
Organism: Magnolia sinica
Lineage: Eukaryota; Viridiplantae; Streptophyta; Magnoliopsida; Magnoliales; Magnoliaceae
Exons: 2
Source: RefSeq, a predicted model, not a curated record